This 253-nucleotide ribosomal RNA is filed under the name uncultured bacterium. Its description in RNAcentral is "partial 16S ribosomal RNA". It matches the Rfam family "Bacterial small subunit ribosomal RNA", at positions 524 to 776 of the family's 1533-position model. The record is from RNAcentral.
UACAGAGGUCCCAAGCGUUGUUCGGAUUCACUGGGCGUAAAGGGUGCGUAGGCGGUCGGGUAAGUCUGAUGUGAAAUCUCACAGCUUAACUGUGAAACUGCAUUGGAUACUAUCCGGCUCGAGGAAUGGAGGGGAGACUGGAAUACUUGGUGUAGCAGUGAAAUGCGCAGAUAUCAGGAGGAACACCGGUGGCGAAGGCGGUGGGCUGGGCCGGCACUGACGCUGAGGAGCGAAAGCGUGGGGAGCGAACAGG